Long non-coding RNA from Anopheles merus, 1214 nucleotides. RefSeq lists it as uncharacterized. The transcript has 3 exons. Lineage: Eukaryota; Metazoa; Arthropoda; Insecta; Diptera; Culicidae. The record is from RefSeq and is a predicted model, not a curated record.
UCCCGGACUACGAGAGUGUGUUUGAGUAGGCCAUGGUGAGGUUCUGGAGAUUUCCGUUGGUCCAGAAGGCACAUGAAGGUUUUGCUUGUUUGCUGUUUGUGGGACAGAAGUAAGAAGACAUUGAUCGAAACACUAGAAGUCAGUAAAAUUUUCAACAGAUUUUAAUUCCUGUUCUUCAGUAUCAGGAGACGGUAACCAAUAGUCGGAAAAAGCAUUACGGUGUAUUUUGUUAAUACCAGCAACUACCGGCGGCUAUGUACAAUGUGUCACAAAUUGAGAAACACACCCCGAAGGCUGUACGCCACCGCGUCUGAGCCGGAAUCAGUAGGCUCUUUAACGCCAAAUCAAUGUGACAAAAACAAACCCACACAGGGACCAGCGAAUCGUUACCAUCCAUGCACGUGGCCUACUAGGCCUUGGUGUUGGGGUCGUCACGUAAGCUGAACAAAGUACUUUUGCAUUUUCCUCUUGUCAGUUGAUGGUGUUAGAAAAGGGCGGGUGGUUUGGAUGUGAUGGAAAUGAAGAUUCUGAUAUUUCGAUAAGCAUCUCUGUCCUAGAAAAUGUCCGGAGGCAUAUUUCUCAUCUAUAUAGGUUUCAUAAGUAUUCCCCGGUCAAAGUUACAGCAUAAUUGAGUGUAAUGAUGAUAACGAAGGGUUUCAUGUUUGACGAAAGCGCCGAGGAUUAUAUGCCACGCCCGAAUACCCGAAUGGAUUUAAGCACGUUCGACAUGGUUUACCGUCGUGUCUCUGUAGCUCCGUAUUCUGAAUCGCCAUGACUAUUUUCGGAGCAAAUUAAAAUCAUCAUCCAACCGUCGCAUCACAAAUCAUUUUGUCACGAGAUUCGUUAUGCCAUUUUCAUGAUUCAAACGUGCUUCAAACAUGCAUAUAUUUUACGAAUGGCGCAGAGCUGGUAAGAGGAAAUGUGGAAUGACGGGAGAUACGAUGUAGGAUCAAAGAUGGUAGAAAUCAUUCAGCAAGUUAUUCGAAUUAUUCUUUCAGCCAACGUGCCUUGAUAGAGAAGAAUGUGUCUUUUGGGAAAAUGCUUAAAAUAAUUCGAACUGUACAUGUAAAAAGGGCUGAAUGGGAUGAAAAAAAUCUUCGAUAAAAUAUUUCCAUAUUUCGUGCUAAUCGUUAAAACAUUGCAUGAAGCAAACAAGCAGAAAAAACACCUUUAACUGCAUAAAAAGCGGCUUUUCUAGAAACACCCACUUUCGG